RNAcentral lists this ribosomal RNA (394 nucleotides) under uncultured bacterium. RNAcentral's name for it is "bacterial SSU rRNA". It matches the Rfam family "Bacterial small subunit ribosomal RNA", at positions 29 to 430 of the family's 1533-position model. The record is from RNAcentral.
AUUGAACGCUGGCGGCAUGCUUUACACAUGCAAGUCGAACGGUAGACCCUUUCGGGGGUUGAGAGUGGCGAACGGGUGAGUAAUGCAUCGGAACGUGCCUAGUCGUGGGGGAUAACGUAGCGAAAGUUACGCUAAUACCGCAUACGCACUGAGGUGGAAAGCGGGGGACCGUAAGGCCUCGCGCGAUUGGAGCGGCCGAUGUCGGAUUAGCUAGUUGGUGAGGUAAAGGCUCACCAAGGCGACGAUCCGUAGCGGGUCUGAGAGGAUGAUCCGCCACACUGGGACUGAGACACGGCCCAGACUCCUACGGGAGGCAGCAGUGGGGAAUUUUGGACAAUGGGCGCAAGCCUGAUCCAGCCAUGCCGCGUGCGGGAAGAAGGCCUCGGUUGUAACG